GGAGCCUUGGUGUCAGUGGCAGCACGCCUGGGUGAAACCGCGGUAGGACCGGUUCGAAUCCGGUAGGCUCCA
RNAcentral lists this transfer RNA (72 nucleotides) under SAR202 cluster bacterium AD-812-D07_MRT_10900m. It matches the Rfam family "tRNA". Rfam says of the family: Transfer RNA (tRNA) molecules are approximately 80 nucleotides in length. Their secondary structure includes four short double-helical elements and three loops (D, anti-codon, and T loops). Lineage: Bacteria; Bacillati; Chloroflexota; Dehalococcoidia. The record is from Rfam by way of RNAcentral.